RNAcentral lists this long non-coding RNA (289 nucleotides) under Vigna radiata. RNAcentral describes it as "long non-coding RNA (VRAD_LNC002691)". Lineage: Eukaryota; Viridiplantae; Streptophyta; Magnoliopsida; Fabales; Fabaceae. The record is from RNAcentral.
GGUGGCGCGUCUCUUGGGAAGAACGAUAUUGGGUUUACCAAUUAUAUUACUUGAAACGAUCUGGUACACUUGUCAGAGAGUCAACAGAAUCCUCCUCUCCAGCUUCAGCAUCCUCAAAAUCAGCAUCAUAAUCCUCCUUAGCAUCCUCAUCCAUGGCUGGAGCUUCAGCUGCUCCAGAUCUACUGCCCUGCGCCUAUUUUGACCAAGCCACUACAUUGUUGAACUCGUCCAUAGUCGACCUAUGUGCAGGAGGAGUGUCGUACAAGCCUAUGACCAUCUCUGUUGUAGC